UGGGGAAUUUUGGACAAUGGGCGCAAGCCUGAUCCAGCAAUGCCGCGUGCAGGAUGAAGGCCUUCGGGUUGUAAACUGCUUUUGUACGGAGCGAAAAGGUCUGCCCUAAUACGGUGGGCUCAUGACGGUACCGUAAGAAUAAGCACCGGCUAACUACGUGCCAGCAGCCGCGGUAAUACGUGGGGUGCGAGCGUUAAUCGGAAUUACUGGGCGUAAAGCGUGCGCAGGCGGUUAUAUAAGACAGAGGUGAAAUCCCCGGGCUCAACCUGGGAACUGCCUUUGUGACUGCAUAGCUAGAGUACGGUAGAGGGGGAUGGAAUUCCGCGUGUAGCAGUGAAAUGCGUAGAUAUGCGGAGGAACACCGAUGGCGAAGGCAAUCCCCUGGACCUGUACUGACGCUCAUGCACGAAAGCGUGGGGAGCAAACA
Molecule: ribosomal RNA, 427 nt
Filed under: uncultured bacterium
Lineage: Bacteria
Description: bacterial SSU rRNA
Rfam family: Bacterial small subunit ribosomal RNA
Source: RNAcentral